UGAUUGAGUAUAAGCGGUCAGUAUGGCAAACAUACGGGACAUUGCUCUACAG
This 52-nucleotide non-coding RNA is filed under the name Acinetobacter sp. RNAcentral's name for it is "Xanthine-I sequence". It matches the Rfam family "Xanthine riboswitch aptamer (NMT1 RNA)". Rfam says of the family: Later it was reported as a ncRNA that recognised Xanthine. Lineage: Bacteria; Pseudomonadati; Pseudomonadota; Gammaproteobacteria; Moraxellales; Moraxellaceae. RNAcentral also lists the same sequence under 1 other name. The record is from RNAcentral.